RNAcentral lists this ribosomal RNA (440 nucleotides) under uncultured bacterium. Its description in RNAcentral is "partial 16S ribosomal RNA". It matches the Rfam family "Bacterial small subunit ribosomal RNA", at positions 338 to 795 of the family's 1533-position model. The record is from RNAcentral.
CCUACGGGUGGCAGCAGUGGGGAAUAUUGCUCAAUGGGGGGAACCCUGAUGCAGCGACGCCGCGUGAGCGAUGAAGGAUUUCGGUAUGGAAAACUCUAUCAGCAGGGGAAAAAAUGACGGUACCUGACUAAGAAGCCCCGGCUAACUACGGGCCAGCAGCCGCGGUAAUACGUAGGGGGCCAGCGUUAUCCGGAUUUACUGGGUGGAAAGGGAGCGUAGACGGCAGCAUAAGUCUGGAGUGAAAUCCCGGGGCUUAACCCCCGAACUGCUUUGGAAACUGUGCGGCUGGAGUGCAGGAGGGGUAAGCGGAAUGCCUAGUGUAGCGGUGAAAUGCGUAGAUAUUAGGAGGAACACCGGUGGCGAAGGCGGCUUACUGGACUGUAACUGACGUUGAGGCUCGAAAGCGUGGGGAGCAAACAGGAUUAGAUACCCUAGUAGUC